CAUCCAACAGCCUUUGAUACG
This 21-nucleotide unclassified non-coding RNA is filed under the name Mus musculus (house mouse). RNAcentral describes it as "oocyte_clustered_small_RNA12279". The record is from RNAcentral. Lineage: Eukaryota; Metazoa; Chordata; Mammalia; Rodentia; Muridae.